AGGAGUUUGAUCCUGGCUCAGAACGAACGCUGGCGGCGUGGAUAAGACAUGCAAGUCGAACGAGAAACUUUUGGAGCUUGCUUUGGAAGUUUCUAGUGGCGAACGGGUGCGUAACACGUGAGUAACCUGCCCAAGAGAGGGGGAUAGCUCGAGGAAACUCGAAUUAAUACCGCAUACGGUCUACCAGGACAUCCUGGGACGACUAAAGGUGGGGAUCUUCGGACCUGCCGCUCUUGGAUGGACUCGCGGCCUAUCAGCUUGUUGGUGAGGUAAAGGCUCACCAAGGCUACGACGGGUAACUGGUCUGAGAGGAUGAUCAGUCACACUGGAACUGAGACACGGUCCAGACACCUACGGGUGGCAGCAGUCGAGAAUCAUUCGCAAUGGGCGAAAGCCUGACGGUGCGACGCCGCGUGGAGGAUGACGGCCUUCGGGUUGUAAACUCCUGUCAUCAGAGAGUAAGGUUUUUUGGUUAAUAACCAGAGAAAUUGAUAGUAUCUGAAGAGGAAGGGACGGCUAACUUCGUGCCAGCAGCCGCGGUAAUACGAAGGUCCCAAGCGUUGUUCGGAUUUACUGGGCGUAAAGAGUACGUAGGCGGCAGGGUAAGUCAGAUGUGAAAGCCCGGGGCUCAACCUCGGAACUGCAUCCGAUACUGCCUUGCUGGAGUAAUGGAGAGGCAUCUGGAAUUCACGGUGUAGC
Molecule: ribosomal RNA, 699 nt
Filed under: uncultured bacterium
Lineage: Bacteria
Description: bacterial SSU rRNA
Rfam family: Bacterial small subunit ribosomal RNA
Source: RNAcentral